GACGAACGCUGGCGGCGUGCCUAAUACAUGCAAGUAGAACGAGUUGCGAACGGGUGAGUAACGCGUAGGAACAUGCCUCAUAGCGGGGGAUAACUAUUGGAAACGAUAGCUAAUACCGCAUACUGUGAGAUGGACCUGCGUUGUAUUAGCUAGUUGGGGGGGUAAAGGCCUACCAAGGCGACGAUCCGUAACUGGUCUGAGAGGUUGAUCAGUUACACUGGAACUGAGACAGUGUCCAGACUCCUACGGGAGGCAGCAGUGGGGAAUAUUGGACAAUGGGCUAAAGUCUGAUACAGCUAUGCCGCGUGUGUGAAGAAGGUCUUCGGAUGGUAAAGCACUUUAAGUGGGGAGGCGUUACCAACAGAAUAAGCACCGGCUAACUUCGUGCCAGCAGCCGCGUUAAUAC
Molecule: ribosomal RNA, 406 nt
Filed under: uncultured bacterium
Lineage: Bacteria
Description: partial 16S ribosomal RNA
Rfam family: Bacterial small subunit ribosomal RNA
Source: RNAcentral